Molecule: ribosomal RNA, 434 nt
Filed under: uncultured Lachnospiraceae bacterium
Lineage: Bacteria; Bacillati; Bacillota; Clostridia; Lachnospirales; Lachnospiraceae
Description: partial 16S ribosomal RNA
Rfam family: Bacterial small subunit ribosomal RNA
Source: RNAcentral
ACGGGAGGCAGCAGUGGGGAAUAUUGCACAAUGGGGGAAACCCUGAUGCAGCGACGCCGCGUGAGUGAAGAAGUAUUUCGGUAUGUAAAGCUCUAUCAGCAGGGAAGAAAAUGACGGUACCUGACUAAGAAGCCCCGGCUAACUACGUGCCAGCAGCCGCGGUAAUACGUAGGGGGCAAGCGUUGUCCGGAAUGACUGGGCGUAAAGGGCGUGUAGGCGGCCGAUUAAGUCUGGAGUGAAAGUCCUGCUUUCAAGGUGGGAAUUGCUUUGGAGACUGGUUGGCUUGAGUGCGGAAGAGGUAAGUGGAAUUCCCAGUGUAGCGGUGAAAUGCGUAGAGAUUGGGAGGAACACCAGUGGCGAAGGCGGCUUACUGGACUGUAACUGACGUUGAGGCUCGAAAGCGUGGGGAGCAAACAGGAUUAGAUACCCUGGUA